AAAGUGGUGCUUCAGGUUAAAAACAAUUUCAGGUUAAGAAUGGACCUCCGGAACAAAUUAAGUACUUAACCCGAGGUACCACUGUAUCACUUCCAUGUGGCAGGUUCAGCAGGAACAGCGAGGAAACUCUGGAUCACAAUUUGGUGGUGAGCCAGGAAAGUAGACUAUUUACAGGAUGAAGUAUUGAAGGAGGAGGGAAGAGAGAAGGAAAUUUGUCCAGAAACCCCAGGAGAUCUCAAUCACUUGCAAGUUGCUGCUCUCAUAUGGGGGAGAUUUCAGAACAGGAAAGAUGCUACAGCAGGCUGGUAGAUAUUUACAAGAUUAUGCAUGGUGUAAAUAAAGUGGGCAGAUAGGUUUUUAUUUCUCUUUUGGCAGCGUUAGGACCUGAGGUCAUCCGGUGAAACUGAUUGGUAGAAGAUGCAAAGAAACACAGGUCUUAAAUAAUAACUUUCACAUUUAACAUACAGAAUUCAUUGUUGCAUGAUGCAAGUUGCCACGGGCUCUCAAGGGGGACUGGACAAAUACAUGGAGGAACAGCCUAUCAGUGGAUGCCUUGAGCAUCCAUGUUCCAAAGCAGCAUGCGUGCCUCAUGAGUCCCAGCCUUUGGGAGAUGACAGCGGGGAGAUGCUCUUUCCUUUGUGACCUGCUUGUGAUCUUUCCUGAAGCAUCUGGCCAGCGCUGCUCGAAAGAGGACUCCUGACUAGAUCGGUCUUUGGUUUGAUCUGACUCUCCUUAGCUUUUAAAGGGACGCUGUUGGAGGUAUUAUGCCUCUGAACGCCACUUGCAGAAAAUUGCAAGGCUGUUGCACUCAGUUUCUCAUAGGUAUCUGGCUGGCCACUGAGAUCAGGAUGCUGGACUAUGAUGGGACUUUGGGUGGAUCUAGCAGAGCUCUUAUUGAGUUCGCACACGAUCUCUGGCCUAGAUCUGGCAAGCCCAGAUCAUCUCUCUUCAUUCUGUGAGGGUCAGCAUGUUGGUGCCUCUGUCCCUGGACUGGAGCAAGCAGAGUGACAGCACUAAGGAGAACACCCGUUUUUGUUUUGUUUCUAAUUGUCUGGAUGUUGUUAGAUAGUCAAAACACUUCAAUUAACAGGAAUUUUAGCCGUUUUAGGUGCUCUUCCUUUCCAUCUGUAGAUUCCCCUUAUUAUCAACAGCCGUUUAUAUUUCUUCACCCACAAAUCUCUCACUAACAUCUCACCCUGUAAUCUCCAUGGCUUCAAUCAAGGCAUAUUAAAAGUUCGGAGAAUUUUG
Molecule: non-coding RNA, 1248 nt
Organism: Podarcis muralis (Common wall lizard)
Lineage: Eukaryota; Metazoa; Chordata; Lepidosauria; Squamata; Lacertidae
Source: RefSeq, a predicted model, not a curated record